RNAcentral lists this ribosomal RNA (500 nucleotides) under uncultured bacterium. RNAcentral describes it as "bacterial SSU rRNA". It matches the Rfam family "Bacterial small subunit ribosomal RNA", at positions 28 to 524 of the family's 1533-position model. The record is from RNAcentral.
GAUGAACGCUAGCGGCAGGCCUAAUACAUGCAAGACGAACGGUAAGUUGAGUAGCAAUACUUAGCCAAGAGUGUCGUACGGGUGCGUAACACGUAUGCAACCUACCCUAUACAGGAGGAUAGCCUAGGGAAACCUGGAUUAACCCUUCAUAGUAUUAUUGGAUGGCAUCAUUUGAUAAUUAAAACUGAGGUGGUAUAGGAUGGGCAUGCGUUUGAUUAGUUAGUUGGCGGGGUAAUGGCCCACCAAGACGAUGAUCAGUAGGGGUUCUGAGAGGAAGAUCCCCCACACUGGCACUGAGAUACGGGCCAGACUCCUACGGGAGCAGCAGUAGGGAAUAUUGGGUCAAUGGAUGCAAGUCUGAACCAGCCAUGCCGCGUGCAGGAAGAAGGCCUUACUGGGGUUGUAAACUGCUUUUGCCAGGGGAUAAAUUUCCAUGCGUGGAAACUGAAGGUACCUGGUGAAUAAGCCACGGCUAACUACGUGCCAGCAGCCGCGGUAAU